ACUUUUGGACCUCAGAUCAG
This 20-nucleotide ribosomal RNA is filed under the name Axinella corrugata. RNAcentral's name for it is "partial 28S ribosomal RNA". The record is from RNAcentral. Lineage: Eukaryota; Metazoa; Porifera; Demospongiae; Axinellida; Axinellidae.